CAGUCGCCGCGGGAAUACGUAGGGUGCAAGCGUUAAUCGGAAUUACUGGGCGUAAAGCGUGCGCAGGCGGUUAUAUAAGUCAGAUGUGAAAUCCCCGGGCUCAACCUGGGAACUGCAUUUGAGACUGUAUGGCUAGAGUGUGUCAGAGGAGGGUAGAAUUCCACGUGUAGCAGUGAAAUGCGUAGAUAUGUGGAGGAAUACCGAUGGCGAAGGCAGCCCCCUGGGAUAACACUGACGCUCAUGCACGAAAGCGUGGGGAGCAAACAGGAUUAGAUACCCGUGUAGUCCCUGUCUCUUAUAC
RNAcentral lists this ribosomal RNA (301 nucleotides) under uncultured bacterium. Its description in RNAcentral is "partial 16S ribosomal RNA". It matches the Rfam family "Bacterial small subunit ribosomal RNA", at positions 509 to 807 of the family's 1533-position model. The record is from RNAcentral.